GUAUGAUUGAGCAAGAGUGGUAAUACAUUUGUGGAGUAUUCCACAGCAGGAGGCAACAUUAUGACACAAGGUACAGUAAAAUGGUUUAAUGCAGACAAAGGUUUCGGUUUCAUUGAAAUCGAAGGCGGAGACGAUGUAUUCGUUCAUUUCAGUGCUAUUCAAGGUGAAGGUUUCAAAUCAUUAGAAGAAGGUCAAAAAGUUACUUUUGAUAUCGAGCAAGGUCAACGUGGAGCACAAGCUGCUAACGUUCACAAAGCAUAAUUAUAAGACCAUAAAAAAAGACUCCUAUGAAGGAGUCUUUUUUUA
RNAcentral lists this small RNA (306 nucleotides) under Priestia megaterium. Its description in RNAcentral is "cspA". It matches the Rfam family "cspA thermoregulator", at positions 132 to 428 of the family's 428-position model. The record is from RNAcentral. Lineage: Bacteria; Bacillati; Bacillota; Bacilli; Caryophanales; Bacillaceae.